CAGGCCUCGCCCAAUCCCCUCACCCGCACGCCCGCACCCCUUUCUCCCUCCUCGAUCUCUCUCCCUGGUCAGCCGCCACGAACCCUAUCCCCCUUUCCAUAUGAUCCCACGGCCACUACGCCCCUCCCGCAUCGGCCCCUUCUCAUCCUCCAUCCCUUGCUUCUCUACUCUCAUGCGAAGGAGGAAGAUGCAAACAACAUUGGCUUUGGGAGAUAGCUCGUCCGUCUGCAGGCAAAGGCGACGGGACCGGCAUCCUGGGCGGAGGCUGGACUCCAGGAACUAGCCGAGGUAGUCCUCGCCAAGGAAGUGGGCGACAGCGCAAUGGGCUCAUCCUUCUGGGUGCUUAGCCAUCGAUUAAGAUUUGGAGGGAGACCAGGAGACCCCGGCAAAAACGAGUGUGCUAACGGAGGCUCCGGGGAUGCAGGGUGAUAGGGCCCAGUAUAUCCUCUUAUUGUGCUAUUGGCUUCCAGAUGGAAUUUGGACAAGGAAAAGGAGACCCAUGCGAAAUCGAGCGUCCUGGUGGUGCCUCGAUGCGGGCCGAUGGAUAGCACCGUUGAGCAUGGUGCUUGGUGCAACGCGCUGGAUAGGUGGCAGGAGAGGUGACCAUGGGUGUGGCUUGGGCAGCUCCACACACAUCAAGCGACGGCGAGCGCAUCCGACGCCACCAUGCUGGUGGUCCCGGAGAACAAGGUAUACAUCUGAGGUAUGAAGAUGAUAGGGCAGUGGUUGGAAAAUUCGUUGGUACAAAAUUCAUUGACAAACUGCAACUGGCUUAUUGAUACGUCUCCAACGUAUCUAUAAUUUUUUAUUGUUCCAUGCUAUUAUAUUACCCGUUUUGGAUGUUUAUGGGCUUUAC
Molecule: long non-coding RNA, 856 nt
Organism: Triticum dicoccoides
Lineage: Eukaryota; Viridiplantae; Streptophyta; Magnoliopsida; Poales; Poaceae
Exons: 4
Source: RefSeq, a predicted model, not a curated record